Molecule: small nuclear RNA, 142 nt
Organism: Glossina fuscipes
Lineage: Eukaryota; Metazoa; Arthropoda; Insecta; Diptera; Glossinidae
Product: U1 spliceosomal RNA
Exons: 1
Source: RefSeq, a predicted model, not a curated record
UUAAUUUACUGAGACGGGAUGACUGGCGAAGGGGGUUCUCCCGGAGUGAGGCUUGACCUAUCCACUAUCGGUUGAGUUGACCUCAGCGAUUAUUCCUAAUACGAAUAACUCGUGCGUGUAAUUUUUGACAGAUUUGACAGAU